Molecule: long non-coding RNA, 393 nt
Organism: Sarcophilus harrisii (Tasmanian devil)
Lineage: Eukaryota; Metazoa; Chordata; Mammalia; Dasyuromorphia; Dasyuridae
Exons: 3
Source: RefSeq, a predicted model, not a curated record
CACUUAACCCCAAUUGCCUCAAAAAGAAAAAAAAAGGAGUGUGCAAUGGUUACCUCAUCUUCGCAUUUAUGAUUCUAAAUAGUAGUGUGGAUGUAAAAGCUACAGUUGGUAAAUUAAACAAAUUGAAAUCCCUUUUCAAGUGUAAAGAAGGUACAUGUGACAAGGAAGACAAUUUCCCAUGCUUUUAUCAGGGUCUCUAAAUCUUAUAUGGUAUCUGCCACUGGAAUCAGAAGCAAGUCACAAUUAUAAUAUUUAAAACAAUAGAUGCAUCUGAAGGUUAUUAUUACUGUAGUCUCUUUUAAAGUAAUAAAUUGUUUAAAAUUCAAGGAGUCCUGCCUUGUUAACAAUAGAAAGUCAUCAUCUUUAAUAAUGUAGUCACAUAACACUAGAUCU